UCUUUUUUUUCGCUCUCCCCGACUCAAUUCUCUUGCUUCAUCUCGCCCAGUUCUUUGUUCUUGUUGUCUUCCUUCAUCCAUUAUUGUUUCUUCUUCAGUUCUUGAUUGCCCUGAUUACUUUCUAUGCGCAUUGCAGAUCUGUGGUGACGUUUUUAUGUCUUUGCAAAUGGAGGAGUUUCUGUUGACAGAGAUCUGCUUGACGUCUCCUCUCUUAGAAAUUCCGCCCGACCCUCUUCCAUUCUUCAAUUCAUAAUUUAUCCAGAAAGAACCCCCAUAAAUUUUCCAAUUCUAUCCAUCAACACCCUAACUCAAAAAUUAUCCAAAUUUCCUUGUGUUAUCAGGGUUGUUUUGAAGAAAGCAUUUGUGGCAGGGGCUCAACUGGAGCAAUGUGUUAUUGUUGAGUCAUAGAGAAGAAGCCUGAUUUGGAGCAAUUGGAGGCCAAUUCGAGGGGCAAAGGCAUCGCGGGCCAGAGUUUGGACCGGAUUGAGGUUGCUUUGCCAGAAAAACCAGACAAAAAAGAUGAGGCACUACUCACAAAAAUGGAGGUGGAAAGUAAAACUGUCAAGAGAAAGAAUAGAUGCAGGCCCUCACAAUAAAGUGAUGUCAGGCCCAGCAGAGUUGUAAGUAAGUCAUAUAAUUUCUACUUCAGGUAAAUUUGCUUCUCCAUGGUUGAACUUGUAGCACACAAAAUGGAAGAUGAAUGUUUCUCUUGCCCAUACAACCUUGAUUUCCAAGGUCACGCAUAACCUAUGCAUCUAACUUAAGUCUCCUUGGUUCUGAAAUAUGUAAGGUUGUCCUAGCGUUUGCAGAGGGACCGAAAAGUUAGGCUUCCACUGAUUGAAGAUACACUUGAUAAAUCUAUUUUACUGGUGGCGUGGGGAAUUCAUCUCUCUAGGGUAAUGACAUAAUAAUUCAGCAGGCAAACCACUCGAAGGAAGGAAUUAGUGGUUGGACGUAGAGGACCCAUUUCAGCCUGGUUGUAUGCAUCAGUCUUAGUGAAACUAUUAGAAUCUCAUCCCUAAAGUCGACUACUCAUAUUCCUAUGCACCAGGUCUCUCUGGUUGCAGCAUUCGAGCUGCUAAGCAGCACGAUGCUCGUAUUGCUCUCCUACAAUUCCGUUUUCACGGUUUAGGCUACUCCCAUUUCGCUAGGUCAAUUUGAAGUUGUAGCAGGAAAAGAAUGUACUAUGUAUUGCAGGAAGAACAAUGAAUCUUAAGAUGGAGAUGACCCAAGAUAUGUUGGUUUAAGGGAAUUUCCUUCUAGAAACUGAAAUGUCUACUGAAAUAAUAGCACAUGUUUGUUUUACAUGGAACUCUUUUUAUUUAAUCUAUGUACUAUGAUGUAACUUCUUUUGAUUCGUGAGGACAAGUAUGAAGGAGCUGACAUUUUUCAGUGGUACAAAAUUCUUGCGAAACUGUGCAUGCCUGUUAAUUUGGUUAUGUAAUUUCGUUCAUUAAUAGUGUAAACUGUUGUAUAGUUGCAUAUAUCUGAUUUGAUAAUAAUUUAUAUGCAUCAA
Nicotiana tabacum (common tobacco) is the source of this 1516-nucleotide non-coding RNA. The record is from RefSeq and is a predicted model, not a curated record. NCBI's taxonomy places the organism in Eukaryota, Viridiplantae, Streptophyta, Magnoliopsida, Solanales, Solanaceae.